Molecule: ribosomal RNA, 371 nt
Filed under: uncultured eukaryote
Lineage: Eukaryota
Description: SSU rRNA
Rfam family: Eukaryotic small subunit ribosomal RNA
Source: RNAcentral
AGCUCCAAUAGCGUAUAUUAAAGUUGUUGCAGUUAAAGCUCGUAGUUGGAUUUCUGGGAGGGUGCCAAUGUCCGUCGUCGUACGUGUUGCAGCGGCGCCCUUCCAUCCUUCUGUUAACGACUUUGGGCAUUCAUUUGCUGGAGUCGGGCUCAGAUAUUUUACCUUGAGAAAUUAGAGUGUUUCAGGCAGGCUAAGCCGGAAUACAUUAGCAUGGAAUAAUGGAAUAGGACUACGGUCUCUUUGUUGGUUUGAGGGACUGCAGUAAUGAUUAAUAGGGAUAGUUGGGGGCAUUAGUAUUUAAUUGUCAGAGGUGGAAUUCUCGGAUUUGUUAAAGACUAACUUAUGCGAAAGCAUUGCCAAGGAUGUUUUCA